GAAAAUCAGUUUCUGCAUUAAAGAACAAGAAAUGCAGAGCAGAAAAUGCAGAAUGAAGAAGAAGAAGAAAGAAAGUUUUCAGGAAAAGAGAAUAAUAACUUGUUAUGUAAUUACACGUGUGGUAGCCAUGUCCUUAUAUAGUGUAUGGUUAUCUCUUAACUACCAAUCAAAAAUUAGCUAACAAACUGAAGCUAACUAAAAGAUAUUGUCCACACAA
This 217-nucleotide long non-coding RNA is filed under the name Lathyrus oleraceus (garden pea). RNAcentral describes it as "Pisum sativum (pea) long non-coding RNA (PSAT_LNC015607)". Lineage: Eukaryota; Viridiplantae; Streptophyta; Magnoliopsida; Fabales; Fabaceae. The record is from RNAcentral.